RNAcentral lists this long non-coding RNA (16822 nucleotides) under Lactuca sativa (garden lettuce). RNAcentral's name for it is "long non-coding RNA (LSAT_LNC009281)". Lineage: Eukaryota; Viridiplantae; Streptophyta; Magnoliopsida; Asterales; Asteraceae. The record is from RNAcentral.
UUUUUUUUUUAUCUAAGAUGUAAUUGAAUUCCAUCUUUACAUGUAUUGACAUCCUGUGAUGUCGAGGCUCUAAAGUCACAAAGACUGAACCAAGUUUCAAAUUCAAUAUACACUCACUGAACACCUCUCUUGUAUUAAAGGUUCCAACUCAAAUGUAGAUUUUGCAAACUUCUCCUAUUAUGGAAAACAUUUCUAUAUUCCCAUAUGACCAAUAUUAUGAUAAAAAAUCAUCCCAAUCCAGAAGGCGUCACUAUGGUCCUUUACAAAUAAUGUCGUACUUCUAACUGUCCACAAACAACCAAUUCUUUGGUAAACCUUAUAACGUUCUUAACACUUUGUUUAACAACUUUAGUAACAUAAGUUGAAAGAUCUAAUAUGCUCAAGAAAAAUAUUAUAAUGAUAUUGCUAAUUAACAUAUGAUACUAAGGGCUACACUAACAACAACUUGAUACAAUUGAUUAUUUAAUAGAAUUUGAUUUUAAUAAAUAUUCAUAAACUCUUAUAAUAAACUGGGAAAAUAUUUAUUUCAUGGAAAUAAUUAUAUCACAAUACAAGUAACACAUUAUUUCAUAAAGUAUGAAUUAAUAAGUCAUGCACAAUUUUUUGGACUAGUUAAAUACUUUUUGUCUUUUACCUAAAGACAAAUUUUAUAUUUUAUAAAACUUAGGUUUAUAACAUUUAAACUCUUUCUCUAUUCUUUUAGUUAAAACGGUGGCUUCUUACUAGGGUAAGAAAGUCAUAGUCUUUUGAUUAAAAUAAGAAAAAGAAUGCAUGAGUUGUAAAGCAUGGGAGACAAGUAGACUUAUGUUCAUGGAAAGCUUAAUAAGUUAAGGAGUUUCAUAAACUGAACAACUUAAAAUAAAAAGACACCCACUAAUCAUAAAUGUGAACUAUGAAAUAUGAACACAACUAUAAAAAUAAUUAACUCUCUUAGGCAUUUCACCAAACACUUGUAAAACGUCGUCAAAUAUAACUUGGUAGCCCUUUUAUAAUUCAAAGUUUCACACGAAAUCUUCUUGCAUAUAAACCGAUAUAAAAACAACUAGUGUUAUUAGAUUAAUAUUAUUAAUAUGAUGAAAAUCUAGUUACAACUCACAAUUUUGAUUUUGAAGCUAAAAAUAAAAAUCGGAGUAAAUGAAAGACACAAUAAUUUGAAUCAUGUUUUUCAAGCAACAAUUGCAUCAAAUCAUAUUGAACAUCAUUACGAAGGAACAUGAUUUUCAGAAAAAACACAAAAAGUUCAUCAAUUAAAUAGCUAGUUGAGAAGUCAAAUUAAAAAAAAAAACAUAACAUAUGUUAGCAGUUAAGGUUCUUACUGUAAUCAAUCACAUUGAAUUAGAACUGCAAAUUGUUAGAAUAGAAAAUUGGUUGUUGUAUGUUUGAAUACAUAACUCAGUUGGAGGCGAAAAAUAAGAUGGUGAUUCUGGAUUGGUGUUCAACAUAGUCCAAUGACACAAUAAUUUUUCCCAACCCAUUUAGAUUAUAUAUAUUUUGUGACAAAACUACCCUUAAUGAAGUCGAUUGGUCGAGAACUAUCCUCGUAGUCCUCACCGAAAUUGGAGUCAUCAUCGGAUCUGAACCUUAUACACACACACAGACACAUAUACACACAACACCUAUCUAUAUGUAUUUAUACAUUUCGUUUAAGACAUAUUUUGUCAUAUAAAUAUUAUAUAUGCAAAAAAAACAUCUUUUUAUAUAAACCAUAUAAAUAAGUAUUUUCAUAAUUUAUUGUAUAUAUUGCUUUAUAUAAAAUAUAUAUGUAUUUAUACUUAUUGAAUACAUAUUUAAAUAUAUAUAAAUAAAUUUUAGUAUGUACAAAAAAAAUUUACUAAAGAUAUAAUACACAUGUAAAUAUAUUGUAAUAUGUUUUUUACAAAUUGAAUUACGUUUUAAAUAUUCAUUAUGAAGAUGCGAUGUUAUAGUCUUUGGUGAUUGUUGUAAUUUCCAAAAUCGUUUGAAAUUUAUUCCUAUGGCAUAUUACCACUGAAAUCAUCAAUUCCAACCACAAGCUUCACAAGAAAGUAUGGAAUUACAUCUUACACUAACUUAUGAAUCAACAACUACAAACAAAUAGCUUAAAUUACAAUAAUUUGAAUUUAUUACUGUAUACACAAUCAAUUGUACAAGUUAUAGAGGCCUUGUACAACUCAUUAACGAGAUUAAAUCUUGCUUUGUCCAAUUCUCAUUAGAAUUUGAAUUUGAUAAAUUAGUGAUUAGAGUUUUGAAGGGCAUCAAAUUCAUAAUGAUGCUUAAAAUCCAUUAAUUUUAAAGAGUCUUGUGUUUGUUUUAUGAUAACUAAAAUUUAAACAUGAAUUUUAUUAAGCAUGUAGGGACGUAUAAUCCACAUCAGGUUCAUCAUGGGUUCCUAGUAAAAAUCAUAACCAAUUAUAUAUUUUUUUUAGUUUUUUUUUUGAACAACAGGUUAACUGGUUAGGUGUUAGUGUUAAUAUUCUAAUUCCUUUUAGCACCAAGGAUCGGACCAUGACAUCCCCAUUCUCGUAAAUUAAGAGACUAUGGUGCCGUUUGUUUUUUCGAAGCGAAAAUGCAUGAAGUCUGCGGACCACCUCUGCAACCCUUUGUAGUAGAAGAGGGAACCAAACGGCUGCAACAUGUAAUAAAAAGUUUGUUUGUUUUUUAACCUCUGCAGAUUGCUGCAAUAAGUUAAAGUAAGGUAUGAGAAAGUUUGAAGUAGAGUCAAAUGUUGUGUCACGCAACACACUUACAAUUGUUUUUAAGACAAAAGUCUUUUGAAAAACAAACAGCUGCGAAUGACCAAGUGGUGCGCGACGCAAUAAUAAAUAGUCAGAAGUGGUUUUUUAGAAAAAACAAACAACACCUAUGCCUCUACGAAUUGAGCUAUUUCCAAUUGACAAUUUUUUCCUUUAAUACUAAUGUGUUAUCAAUAAAAAGAAAAGUUUUAGAUAUAUGUAAGGAGUCAACGGGCAACAAGUUGUGCCGUUAAUCAUUUUUCGAUGUCGAAACUAAUUCUUUUAAAAAUCACAUUCAUAAAUAUUGAGAUCAUAAAAUUACUAUACAUGAACAAUUGGACUCUAUUGAAAAGUUCCAUAACAUUUUACCAUACUUUUUUUUUCUUCAUGAAACUACAUGCCUCAUGUCCUAAAGUCCACAAAAAGGAAACCUUGUUAUAUAAUAAAACCACAUAAUAUGAUUUGUUUGUUUGGUAUUUAAUGACUUAAAAGACAUAUUUUAUUAUUGGACAUUUUUACAUUUUUCUUUUUGAAAAAUGCAAAGAUUUUGCUUAAAUACAAGCAACAAAUUUGUUAAUUAUUAGAGAUGAAAAAUGCCGAUUAAGAAUAGUGAAGGGGCCAUUUAUGUAACUCAUUCCAAUCUUAGAAUCAAAUAGGGCUUCGUCUACACAGGGCAUCAACUAUAUAAACGUAGAGUUAGGGUUUUUGCUAGUGUUACCGAGCUACCGUCGCCGCGCAGCCAUCUUUGAUUCCUCAGGUUCUCCCUCUCGCUCUCUCUCCCUCUAUUUGAAUGCUUGAACUAUUACUGCGUGUUUAUGAACAUCUCUUAAAAUCAACACAUGUUUUUUUUCUAUCACCGAUGUUUUCGUUCGAUUGUUCGUAAGGAUUUGAUUUCAGGUGAAAUCCGAUCUAUAUUUCGUCUCUUCUGAUUAUAUAGACUGCCAGAAUGCUCAGUUACUGGAAAUUAUCUUGCAAUCCGUUGAUUUUAUGAAUUGCACUUAUCACGAAUCCGUAUCUGUUUUCAUAUGGAACACACUUCAAUUGAUCACAUACUGUCAAAACGUUGUCGGCUCUGUCUCGAGCUUAUUUACUACUCAAAAAUGAUUUUUUAUUCGUUUAUAGGAGAUAGGUGCAUUCAUCCGUAAAGAUUCAAUCGAGUUUUGAGCAUUUGAUUCGUUUGUGCAUCAAACAUUGAAAAUUUUAAUCACUUAUAGAUGGAUCUUCAAUGAAUAACGAUCUGAUUAUCAUAUUCAUCCACUUUGUCUAUAUAUUGUUUAAUUUCUGAUUUAAAGGUGGACGAAGGCAAAGAUGUCGCACAGGAAGUUUGAGCAUCCCAGACACGGUUCCCUUGGGUUUCUUCCCAGGAAGCGUGCUGCUCGCCACAGAGGCAAAGGUAUAGUUCGUUUCUUAGUUUGCAUUAAUCAAUCUAUCCUUAUUUUGUUUCUGAUUGGAGUUCAUCUCUGCAUUUUUAAUCUAGCGUUUUCUUUUUUAAACAAAAUCCUUACUCUUAAAAACUUUCAUUAAUUGAUGAAGAAACUAACAUUACUCUUUCACAAGUGAUGUAAAAAUGGAGACUAGACCUUCAAAAAUUUCCACCACUCUCACAUACACUCUAAGAGCACAUUGAUCUUUCUAGUAGUUUUGGUUAAAUUUGAGUUGUAUUUUUUCAUUCUCUUUUCAUUUGUAAUUAUCAACUAAACCAUGGUUGAUUUGAUUUAUGCAGUGAAAGCUUUCCCCAAGGAUGACCCAACCAAACCUUGCAAGCUUACAGCUUUCUUGGGUUACAAAGCUGGCAUGACCCACAUUGUCAGAGAUGUUGAGAAGCCUGGAUCCAGUAAUCCAUUUUUCCUCAAAUUCCAUCAUCAAAUUAAUUAAUUUCUCUUUCCAGUAUACUAAUCUUGACUUCAUUAUUUCUUCAGAGCUCCACAAGAAAGAGACAUGUGAAGCAGUGACAAUCAUCGAGACACCUCCCAUGGUGGUUGUUGGAGUUGUUGCCUAUGUCAAAACCCCCCGUGGCCUCCGUUCUUUGAACACUGUUUGGGCACAACAUCUCAGUGAAGACAUCAAAAGAAGGUUCUACAAGAACUGGUGCAAAUCCAAGAAGAAAGCAUUCGCCAAAUACUCCAAGAAGUUCGAAUCCGACGAGGGCAAAAAAGACAUUCAAUCCCAGUUGGAAAAAAUGAAAAAAUACGGAACUGUCAUUCGUGUCCUAGCUCACACCCAGGUAAAAAAAAUUAAUUUCCAUUUCACCCUUUAUGUAAUUUACUCUUUUAUAUCUAAAUCUGACUCAUUUUGUGUUUUCAGAUAAGGAAAAUGAAGGGAUUGAAGCAGAAGAAAGCACAUUUGAUGGAGAUUCAAGUGAAUGGAGGAACAAUUGCUCAAAAAGUUGAUUUUGCUUAUGGGUUUUUUGAGAAACAGAUUCCAAUUGAUGCUGUUUUCCAGAAAGAUGAAAUGAUUGACAUUAUUGGUGUGACAAAGGGUAAAGGUUAUGAAGGUGUGGUGACACGUUGGGGUGUGACUAGGCUGCCACGUAAGACCCACAGAGGUCUACGUAAGGUGGCGUGUAUCGGAGCGUGGCACCCUGCCAGAGUGUCAUUCACUGUUGCAAGAGCUGGUCAGAAUGGGUAUCAUCACAGGACUGAAAUGAAUAAGAAGAUUUACAAGUUGGGAAAGACUGGACUCGAGUCUCACACUGCACUCACUGAGUUUGACAGGUUAGUGACUCACCGAGUCAGAAACUCAAAGAAUCUUUUUGUAAAUAAAAUUACCUUUUUAAUGAGUUAUUGGUGUGUUGUUAUGUGUAGGACUGAGAAGGAUAUAACACCAAUGGGUGGGUUUCCUCAUUAUGGUGUGGUGAAGGAUGAUUAUUUGUUGAUUAAAGGGUGUUGUGUGGGGCCCAAGAAGAGGGUGGUGACUUUGAGACAGUCGUUGCUUGCUCAGACGUCCAGGCUGGCGCUUGAGGAGAUUAAGCUCAAGUUUAUUGACACGUCAUCCAAAUUUGGGCAUGGUCGUUUCCAGACUACACAGGAGAAGCUUAAGUUCUACAAUCGCAUGAAGGCUUGAAGAAUUUUGGGGUUUUGAAAUAUGAUGAUCAUGAAAUGUUGGUUUCUUUUGUUUUCUGGUUAUGUUUUGAAUUCUGAAAAGAAAGACCAGUUUUGGUUUGAGUUUUGUUUACUUGAGACGUUUGAAUUUGUAAACGUUUUUUUGGUUAAUUUCAGGAUAUUUAUUUUACAAUUCAGGUGUUUAUUGUUUGGUAUAUUCACUAUUAAUGCUUGCGAAAUCGUUUUAUGAUGGUUCUCACACAAUUUAAAAAACAAAUCUGCCAUUUUUCUUGACGAAAAUGCACUUAAAAAAAUCUUGAUAUCAUAAUAAGUUUAUUGGACGAAAAUUUAGAUGUAGUUAGGUGGUCAUUGGUAGGUUGAAUCCUAUAUGGAUAUGUAUAUACGGACUCUCAACCUUCAUGAACAAGUUGUAUUAAUGAGGUUCUAUAUGGUUGAGGUACAUGUAUGGAUGUUGAUGUACAUGAUGGAAGUACAUGUAUAUGGGGAAGUUUAGUAGGAUCAGUUAUGUGAACCAUUUUUCGUUAUACAAAAAUGAAUAUUUUUAGAAGAGCUUAUGAGAUAAUUUUAAAAUGGUUUUUCUAAAUUAGAAGAACAAGGAUCUUAUAAUAAUGAUAUAGAUCAAGGGAUAUUUGAUAUAUUUUUUAUUGGAUCUCAUUGAGUUUGAUAUGUUUAUAAUAUUCAAACUAUUUAAUACCAUUUGAACCAGUCCUAUAACAUUUGAUGUGUGUAAUUAAAUAAACAAUUAUAAAAAAACCCAAAGAUUAAUUGCUUACAUUUAUAUGUAUUAACUUUUCAGGUUCAAACUCUAAUAAUAAAGGAAAAGACCACAAGGAAAAAGACUGAUACAAAACCGGUCCUAAAAAAAUUGGAUAGUUUCAAGACUGACACGAGAUCAGACCAAGAGCGACCCAUGGCCAUUCUCAAAAAAUGCUAGAACCUAAAAUUUGUAAACAUACAUUUUUAUAUUGAUUACAUAUUUUUUAAUCAUAUUACCAUUUUUUUUCCUUUUCUUGUUUUAUUAAAUUUUAAUGUAUUAUUUUUAAUAAAUCUUAAUCUAUGAGGAGUGUAUGAACGAGCUAAAAAACGGGAAUAGACAGUAUUUAUUUCAGUAAGACCACGUGCCAAAAUAUAUGUAAGAGGCUUUUGGAACAAACCGAUAGAGAUUUGGACAGAAAUCAAAUAAAAAACAAAUGGGACAUUAUGCGAAAAGAGUUCAAGUAUUAUGACCGUUUAACAAGACUAGAAACGGAAAUUUCAAUUGAUCACGUGAGAAAUAUAAUCUCAGCAUUAAAGGAGUGGUGGGAUGAGAAGACAAAGGUAAUAGUUAUAAAAUUUAUCUAGCACUUUAUUAUUUGUAUUGUGUUUUUCCUGACAUUCUCAUUUUGUACAUAAGAGAAAAUAAAGAGUAUGCUAAGUUUAAUGAUAAGAAUUUGGAGGUAUAUGAGACAUAUUACGAGGCUUUAUUUCGGGAUAACGUAGCUGUUAGAGGCAAGGCUAAGCUACCUUGUGAAUUUGGCGACAAUAGCACUCUAGAUGAUGUGCAAUUUGUGGAUAUUACGGAUGGAAAAGAAGCUAGUGACGAAGUCCUCUUAUUUGAUGAUGUUGAUCCUUUUCUCACAUAUAGUAGUUCUAGUAAGAAAAGGAAGGGAAAGAAGUUAACUCCCAGGCAUGAAAGGAAAAAGUAUGGUAAGCUCGUCAUAUGAACAGAAUCUGGACACUGUUUUUGAUGUUUUGUUAACAAGGAGCACUCAGACCUCAAGACAAACCACACACUCACCAACAACAGAAGAAUGUAUGACAAUUGUGUCUACUUUCCCGGGUUUUGAAGAAGGCUCAAUAGGAUAUUUGGAAGCGUUAGAGGUCUUUCUAAAGAAGUCAGCUCGUCAGAAUUUUAUGGUUCCAAAGACUGAUGAAACAAAGAUGGAGUUUCUCAAAAAGUUUAUAUGGAAAGCGAAGUAGUUGAAGAUAUAAUCUACUUUUAUGUCUUGUGUUAGACUUAUCCUUUUAUCUAUCAGGUUGAUUUUAAGCGAUUGUCAUGUGUUAGACUUAUCCUUUUAUCUAUUAAGUUGACUUAAAAAUGUUGUUUUUUUGUUUGUUUUAAUGCAUUUCCGUUUUAUGUUUGUUUUGUGGUCAAUUUUGCCAUUGUCCCAUGAUUUUGCCCUUGUUUCAUUUUCCAUGAUUUUAUCUAUUAGGCGGUAAAUUUCCAUCUUACCCUUGUUGCCUUUUCCUUUAUUUACUAACAAAUUAUUUCAUGUUAGUGUUGACUCAUGUCCAGUGACUGUGAAAGUGACGACUCAUAUGACAAUGAUGACUUAUGUGAUGAAACUAAAGAAAAUGAAGAGAUUCAAACGCUUCUUUUAUGUGGGCUUGCUGUCAAUGGGUUACUAUUGAUUCAUAAAUUGAAAAACGAACGUAGACGUCGCCGUUCAUCUUCAAGCACAUGAAGCAUGCUUAUCAAUGAAAUACUUAACGAUCAUGAGAGACGAUGUUAUGAACUUUUCAAAUUACAAGUCCCGGUUUUCAACAUGUUAUGUAGGGAUCUUGAUGCACAUUAUGGGUUGAAGAAAUCACAUCGUGUAUCUAUUCAAGAGUCCCUUGGUAUUUUCUUGUUGUACUUAGCGCAUGGAUGUGGAAAUCAGUUAUUUCAAAAGUUCUUUAACCAUUAUGGGGAAACAAUCCAUAGGCAUUUUCAUAAAGUCUUCGAUGUUGUGGUUAACCUAAGUAAGGACAUCAUCAAACCAAAUGCUAACUACAACGAAACCAUACCAGAACAUAUUUUAAAUAAUCCUCAGUAUUAUCCAUACUUCAAGGUACUUAUUUUAUUGCAAAGUUAUGCUAUUUGGUGAAUUUGUUUAAUUGUAAAAAUAAUUGGUAAGUUAUUAUAUUUUUUGAAUUUGUAGGAUUGUAUUGGUGUUAUCGAUGGAACACACGUGAAGGCCUUUGUUCCACAAUGAACCAAAUCAAAUACAUUGGACGAAAGAAUUGUGUUACUCAAAAUAUUAUGACAACAUGUGAUUUCAACAUGUGCUUUACCUUUGCGUGGGCUGGAUGAGAGGGGAGCACUACACAAGAAUAUUCAAUGAAGUGCGAACAUCCGUUAUCAUAUUCCUUGAUUUUCAUCGUGAACAGACUCCUGCCGUGCGGGAACCAAAAGGCUUCAAAGAAAAAUUUAACUAUUAUCAUUCGUCACUUCGCAAUGUUAUUGAACGAACUUUUGGAAUCUGGAAGGCUCGAUGGAUGUUACUAAGAGAUAUGCAUGUAAAUUUCGACUUCGAGACCCAAGUGAAAAUUGUGCUAGCUUCAAUGACGCUUCACAAUUACAUUAGAAUAAGUGGUAGUGGUGAUGCAACAUUUCAAAUAGCACAAGAAGAAUCUUAUAUUCCGCGUAAUGAUGAAGAACCCGAUGAUGGUAACGAGCCACAUGACGAAGUAUCAAGUGCACAAUGUAGAAACGACGAUAUGCAUAUGAGUGUAGUACGCGAUAUGAUUUCCCCACCGCUAUAAGCUAAUCCAAACACUUUUGCAAAACCUGUUUUCUCACACCGCUAUAAACUAAUAAACAAUAACCUAACCCUAAUCUAUCUAAAAACCCUCUUAUCUUAUCUUACUGUAGAAAGCAGAAGCCGUUGAAAGAAAAAAAGAUUUUGGGCCGGGCUAAGCGCAAUGAUAAAAGUUUCUGAUACCUAAAAACUAAUAAGAGAAUUGAAUCACCCUCUUCGGUCUCUCCCGGAAAACCCAGUCACACUUCACAACAUCGGCCCCUAAACCUAAACUCUCUCAUCGGCCUCAACAGUCAGCGGCUCCGGCUCACCAAGCUACCACUGACCACCGUCUCUCUCGCUGACCCUGAAACUCUCUCAUCGGCUCUCGCUCUCACCUUUAAUCUCUCAAUUUCUCUGCUGCUGUUGUUGUCGAGGUAUUCACGCUAUAUCGCAGUCUCACUCUGUUAUGUUUUGUAGUUUUUCUAGGUUUAAUUUCUUUUUAUGUUUGCAUUAUGUUAGUUUUCGGUGUAGGGUUUUGGUUACUUGGCUAUCUGUUUCCUGUUUUUCAAUCUUCCUGCUUGCUUAACACAGUAAGUCAGUAACACUUAUAGUAUACUCUUGAAGUAAUUCUUUAAGGUCAGACAUUAGUUUUUCUUGAACAAAUCGACAUAGAUGUUGUUUACCAUUGGUAUAUUAGUCAAUUUAGCUUUUAUAUACUCUAUAUCCAACAUUUCAUACUUAGGGUUUGUUGAAAAAUUCGAAUUGAAAAUCAAAAUUAUCAUUAAACCUCGUUAAAAAACGUGAAUUGUUUAUUGUUUUACUAGCUGAUUGGUCUAAAAUGAUUUAUUGUAUUGUAUUCUUGUAUUUGCUACUAUACUAGCUGGUGUAAGAAACAGUUACUAAUUUGAAACAAUCCAUUAUCUUAUGCAGUUUUCUAAGUUCUAACAAUGGUGGAGGUGAAAGUCUCUGAGAGCAAAGACCUAACCCGAAUCGAACGAAUCGGGGCCCACUCCCACAUCCGUGGGCUCGGUCUUGACUCUGCCCUAGAACCCCGGGCAGUCUCCGAAGGCAUGGUGGGUCAAACCACUGCCCGAAAAGCCGCCGGAGUCAUAGUCCAAAUGGUCAAAGAAGGGAAAAUCGCGGGUCGGGCCGUUCUACUUGCGGGUCAACCCGGAACCGGAAAAACCGCCAUAGCCAUGGGCAUGGCCAAGUCAAUAGGACUUGAAACCCCAUUUGCCAUGCUGGCAGGUAGUGAGCUUUUCUCUUUAGAAAUGUCCAAAACAGAAGCUUUAAUGCAAGCAUUCAGGAAAGCAAUUGGUGUUAGAAUUAAAGAAGAAACCGAAGUGAUUGAAGGAGAAGUUGUGGAGAUCCAAAUCGACCGCCCUGCAGUGGCCGGAGCCGCCUCGAAAACCGGGAAGUUGACUUUGAAGACUACCGAGAUGGAGACUGUGUAUGAUUUAGGAGCUAAAAUGAUUGAAGCUUUAGGGAAAGACAAAGUACAAAGUGGUGAUGUGAUUGCUAUCGAUAAGGCUUCCGGAAAGAUCACAAAACUCGGGAGAUCGUUUUCGCGGUCUCGAGAUUAUGAUGCCAUGGGCCCACAAACGAAAUUCGUUCAGUGUCCAGAUGGCGAGUUGCAGAAGAGGAAAGAAGUUGUUCAUUGUGUUACCCUUCAUGAAAUCGAUGUUAUCAAUAGCAGGUAAAGUAGAUGAAUGAGUAAUGAUAUCUGUCUGUCUGGAUAGAGUGUUGUCUGUCUGUCUGAAUAAAGUGUUGUCUGUCUGUUUCUUUUGCAGGACACAAGGUUUUCUUGCUCUUUUCACGGGUGACACAGGCGAGAUACGCGCCGAAGUCCGUGAACAAAUUGAUACAAAAGUGGCAGAGUGGCGAGAGGAAGGAAAGGCCGAGAUCGUGCCAGGUGUCCUCUUCAUAGACGAAGUCCACAUGCUCGACAUCGAAUGUUUCUCUUUCCUAAAUCGUGCUUUAGAAAAUGACAUGGCGCCGAUUCUGGUUGUUGCAACGAACCGAGGGAUCACAACGAUUCGUGGGACCAAUUACAAAUCGCCACAUGGGAUUCCGAUUGAUUUUUUGGAUCGGCUUUUGAUAAUUUCUACACAGCCGUAUACGGAAGAGGAUAUCCGGAAGAUUCUAGAUAUAAGGUGUGGGGAGGAGGAUGUUGAUGUGGCGGAAGAUGCUAAGGUUUUGUUGACUAAAAUUGGGGUGGAGACGAGUUUAAGGUAUGCGAUAAAUUUGAUAACAUCGGCUGCUUUGGCUUGUCAGAAGAGGAAAGGGAAGGUGGUGGAGAUGGAGGAUGUGAGUAGGGUUUAUGAGUUGUUUUGGGAUGUGAAGAGAUCGACUCAGUAUUUGAUGGAGUAUCAGAGUCAGUAUAUGUUUAGUGAUGCACCUGAGGAAGAUGAAGUUAACAUGAUGGUUUGAUUAUGAUUCUGAUUGUUGAAUUUUGUGAGUAUUAAUGUUCUAAGCUUCAUGUUGUCAACAAUAGCACUUCUUUAUCUUCAAAUUUAGUAGAGUAUGGGCCCUAUGGGAUAUGCUUCAUUAUUUAAGAGUGAAUUAUAUUUUUGGUUAAAAAGUUUUCUCUUACUUGCAACGUUUUUUUUAUAUAUAUGUUCCAAGUAAAAUGACUAUUUUUGGUCAUUUCACUAGAACAGGGACCAAAAUAGUUACAAAACAUCAAAGAAUGACCAAAAUUGAAAAAUUCAGCUACACAAAGAGACCAAAAUCGUAAAAACGUUAACUGGUUUUGAAAUUUUGUUCUCAAAUUGUAGUCAACCAAAAAUGUUUACAAAAACUCAAAUAAAAACCAAAUUUUCAAAAGAAAAAGGUUCACACAAUAAUUAGUUAGAACAAAUAAACUUAACUACAGAUGCUAUAAUUACAACUAAAAAGCUUUAUUAAACUACUUUAAAAAAACUAAAAGUUUUUUCUUUCUUGAGCUUACUACUGUUAAAAAACUAUAGUGUUAGUCAAGACUUGAGCUUACUACUGUUAACAAACUAUAAAUUGUAAAAUUGUUUUAAAAUAAGUUUUUUUUCUUCUUCUAAAUUACAUACAUAUAGUUUUCAUGAUAAUAAUAUAGAGAAAUGAUCAAUUAGAAAUUCCCUAAAAAUACGCUACCGAUGCAUUGAAAGGCUAAAAUUAACAUCAAUUAGAUCUAAUGCAAAUUAUAAAAUAACCAAUUUUUUAUAACGAAAUGAUCACACGUUUCAUGAACAAGGUUUUGCGAUUCACAAAAGGAAUUAACAAUAUUAGGUGUGAGACUUAUAUAUAUAUAUUAAAUAAAAAAAUUAAAUAUCAAAAUGUAAACAUUAAAUAUUUUUAAAAUUAAAUUUUAAAAUAAGGAAGAAAAAUACAUAUUUAUUACAAUUUAUGAUCAUAUUUAUUACAUUUACUACUUUAUUUAUAUAGUUAUAUUAAGUAUUAUGUGGCUUUUUAAUUUUAAAAAUUAAAAAAAUCUAGAAAUUGACAUGUAGAUAUUAUUUAUUUCAAAAAUACCACAAAAUGAUAAGUGUCAAAACUUAAGAUAAAUUGACAUGUGGCAUAAUGGAUACGCAAAACACAAAACCUUUUUCGCGAAAUGUAUACUUUCACAUUUUUUUUUAUCAAUAUACGCAUUUUUUAGAUUUAUAAGACAUUAAUUUAAUUUGUGGUAUUUAUAAUCAAUUUUGUUAUUAUGCAGGUACCCAUGUGAAAGAUAUGUAUGAAAAUUGACCUACAAACAGUUGAGUCAAACAUUGAAUCUGCAUGAUCACUCAAAUACCUGCAACAGUAAUAAGGAUAAGAAGGAAGCAAGUAAGUACAAGUGUACAACCUUAACACCCCAAAACCAAAACAAGAGCAUCCCAAAAUUUCAACUUUUGAAACAACAUAAGCUUUACAAUAUUUUAAUAAAAGAUGUAUUUUAUUCACUAAAGGAUCAAACAAGUUACAUUAUCUUGCCUCUACGAGGUUAUUAAAUGGUUUUAAUUAAAAGACAUUCGAAUGAAAGCAGAUUGCCAUAAAUUGGUCUCAAAGCAUUAUUAAUCUAGGCAAAAAAGUAUAAUGUUUUUUUGAGCAUCGAGAUAAUACGUUUUUUUUGCUUGUUCCCUAUAAUUUAAUUUUUGUUUGUGUUUUAAUAUUUGUGACGAUUUAAUAAAAUGUCAAAUUUUGUUAUGUUAUGUUUAGUUUAGUUGAGUUCUAUCAUAUUCCACUUUAUUAUGUUGUGUAUCAAAUGUUACCUUUUUAAAACAGUACAAAGUAAAAAAAAAAUAUAGUAGAAAAGCUCAUUUAAAGAACAAUCUUGAAUAUUCUUAGGUAUUAUCCAUGAGAAUAGUUUUGGAGCAACUAUAAUAUUUUAUUUAUUAUCCAUGAAAACAGAUUUGAGAUGGAAACAAAGAUAAUAUAUGAAAAGGCCCAUACUUUUAUUUACCCUGUUUAUGAAACGAAGCAAAAGCAAAAAUAUAGAAGAUCAUAUUCAUAACUAGGGCGAAGUCCCCACAACACUAAGAGAAUUCGUAACCCAAUACGAUUUUCCCUUUCAGACACUACUCUCUUUGCCGCUUCCAGCUUCGGCUGACUUCGUUCAUCAUCUUCAGGUGCGAUUCCCCUUUAUUCAGAUUUACGAUUCUCACUCCUGGUUUUCCCCUUCCAAGAAGAUUCAGUUUGAUUUUUUCACGUUAUCUUAUUACAAUUCCCGAUGGAAAUUUAGGGUUUUACUUCCAAAUUCUUUUGCUUUGCUUGAUUAGCAAUCAUCAACCGUUUUUUCUUUUGGAUUUUAGAAUUGAUUGCUUCAUAUAUUGUAUGAGGAACCUUUUUCCAUGAAUCAGUUCAAAUUUUUUUUUCUUCUUUCAGGAUAAUUUAAAAUGACAGAGCCUUCUAAAGUCAUUCACGUUCGGAAUGUUGGUCACGAGAUUUCGGAGGUUUGAUUUCUUUGUAAUUCACAACGUGCUUCUUUCGAUUAUGCAUUUUAAGGACGGAUUCCUUUCCAUUCUUUCUGUUAUUCAUCACCCUAGAUGAAUUUUUCUGUUUCUGUUCAUAAAGAUCGAUGCUAAUUGUAACUUUGUAACAUAGAGAGUGUAGUUAUAAUUCCGUUUCAUUGUUUCUGUUAUUCAGCCUGAUCUACUUCAACUAUUCCAACCUUUUGGAGUCAUCAACAAACUAGUUAUGCUUCGUGCAAAAAACCAGGUAUAUAGCUUUGCAAUAUAAAAUCGGUCAAUAUUUUAGCUAUUAAUUUCCUAACAUUUGCAGGCUCUCCUUCAAAUGCAAGAUGUCCCUUCAGCUGUGAAUGCAAUGCAAUUUUAUGCCAAUGUUCAACCAAGCAUAAGGUGUAUCGACUACUGAUGUAACAAAAAUUAGAACAAGAAAGAAUUAUGGAUUUCAUAAAUCAUAAUUGGUCUUUUUCUAAUCGUUUAAGUUUUAUUGAGGUAAAAAUUUAUACUAACUAUUAUUUACUAUAUAUGCAAACUCCAGGGGUAGAAAUGUGUAUGUUCAGUUUUCAUCUCACCAAGAGCUAACCACAAUGGAGCAAAAUACUCAAGGGCGUGGAGACGAGGUAUUUAUUAUCAAUUUUAUAUCUUUUUGUUAUGGUGAUUUGAUGAAGUAUAUUAUAUUUAUGGGUCUGUUUGUAAAUUGUAUGUGUGUAGGAGGUUGACAUAUUUAAAAUUCUAUCUCUAUCUCUAUAUCUAUAUCUAUUUCUCUUUCCCUUUCUUCUUUUCUCUAUCUAUUCUUCUCUAUUCAUUCUAUUCUCUUCUCUCUCUUCUGUCUAUGCUGGGCUUUGGGCUGCGAUUGGACGUGGUAUGGAACACAGCCUAACCGUAUACUCCUGGUUACAAUCCAUCACAUGCUCUACCCUAUUACUGUGGAAGUCCUGCAGCAAGUCUUUUCUCCUCAUGGAUAUGUCGAGAAAAUCGUCACUUUUCAAAAGUCAGCUGGUUAGCAUCGUUACAUUUUUUCAUUUCUUUUUAAUUCUUAUUCAUAAUUUCAUGUCAUAUAUUAUUUUCACAUAUAGGUUUUCAAGCACUUAUUCAGUUUCAAUCACGCCAGAGUGCUAUAUCUGCAAGAAAUUCCCUUCAGGGGCGUAAUAUUUAUGAUGGUUGUUGUCAACUAGAUAUUCAAUUCUCAAAGUAAGUUUUUAAAUUUUAUUUUAUUUAGAAAAAAAAAAUCUUUUCCUAAUAUGAUAUGAUUUAAUGGUUGUUGACUUUUUACAGUCUUGACGAGUUGCAAGUGAACUACAAUAAUGAUCGGUCUAGGUCUGUUAAUGUUUUUGUGAAUAUAACAAAAUAUCUUCUUAUGAUUUUACAAAUUUAUUUAACUUUUUGUUUUUUUGUAUCAAUAGAGACUUCACAAACCCAUCACUGCCUUCAGAACAAAAGGGCAGACCUUCUUCUCAAGUAUGUUUUUGAUCACAAUCUGUUGUUAUCUUAUUAAAUUCGUUUCCUAUUUUAGUUGAUUUUUCUUUUAAUUUUUUAUUAUUAUUAUUCGCUGUUGUGCCAGCCUGGAUAUGGAGACGCAGGAGGUAUGUACAGUUUACAAGGUCAUGAAGGUAGGAAAGGUGCCAGAGUGUCUUCUGAUAAAUAUUUUUAAUUUUAAUUUUUUCUUGUUUGGUUUUCAGUUGGAUUUCCACAGGUGGGUGUUCUCCUCUUUGUUAUAUAAAUGCAUCUGCUUGAAACUGAAAGGGAGUCAUUUAUUAUAACCAUAUAUUAAUAUUAUUAUUAAAUACUAAUGGUUUUAUUGGAUUUGUUUUUUGUAAACUGUUGAAAUUAAGAUGAACAAUGGCGCAGCAAUUGCAGCUGCAUUUGGAGGAGGGUUGCCUCCUGGAAUUAGUGGGACUAAUGACAGAUGCACUGUUCUUGCAUCUAAUCUAAAUCCUGAUGUAAUCUCUCUCUCUCUCUCUCUCUCUCACACACACACACACACAGAUCAACAUUAUGUUUGUUUUGAUGGUGAUAUUUUGUGUUGAUAUAUAUAAAUAUAAUAUCAGAGGAUAGAUGAAAACAAACUGUUCAACUUGUUUUCUUUAUAUGGAAACAUUGCCCGAAUCAAGCUUCUUCGCAAUAAACCAGAUCACGCCCUUAUCCAAAUGGGUGAUGGCUUUCAGUCUGAAUUAGCAGUACACUUUUUAAAGGUCCAAAAUUUUACAAAAAAAAUACUCUUCUUUAUAUUAUAUUAUAUUAUAUUAUAUAGUUAGAUUUAUAACCAGUAUUAGUUUUAAAUUAUAGGGGGCAACAUUAUUUGGAAAGAGAUUGGAGGUUAAUUAUUCAAAACAUCCACACAUCACAAUGGGUGCUGAAACGCAUGAGUAUUUAAACUCAAAUCUUAACCGAUUUAACCGUAAUGCUGCUAAAAACUAUCGUUACUGUUGCUCGCCAACCAAAAUGAUCCACCUGUCCACCCUACCACAGGACAUAACAGAGGAGGAGAUUGUGGCCCACCUUGAAGAACAUGGGAGCAUCAUCAACACUAAGCUUUUUGAAAUGAAUGCUAAAAAACAGGCUCUUGUUUUGUUUGAAAAUGAAGAACAGGCCACUGAAGCUCUUGUGUGUAAGCAUGCAAGUAGCCUUGGUGAUUCCAUGAUUCGGAU